UGGGGAAUAUUGGACAAUGGGGGCAACCCUGAUCCAGCCAUGCCGCGUGAGUGAUGAAGGCCUUAGGGUUGUAAAGCUCUUUCACCCGGGACGGAUAAUNNCGGUACCGGGAGAAGAAGCCCCGGCUAACUUCGUGCCAGCAGCCGCGGUAAUACGAAGGGGGCUAGCGUUGUUCGGAAUCACUGGGGCGUAAAGCGCACGUAGGGCGGACCGUUAAGUCGGAGGUGAAAUCUGGGGCUCAACCCCAGAACUGCCUUCGAUACUGGGCGGUCUCGAGUCCGGAGGAGGUGAGUGGAACUGCCAGUGUAGAGGUGAAAUUCGUAGAUAUUGGCAAGAACACCAGUGGCGAAGGCGGCUCACUGGUCCGGUACUGACGCUGAGUGC
This 384-nucleotide ribosomal RNA is filed under the name uncultured bacterium. Its description in RNAcentral is "partial 16S ribosomal RNA". It matches the Rfam family "Bacterial small subunit ribosomal RNA", at positions 355 to 754 of the family's 1533-position model. The record is from RNAcentral.